CGCGCUCCUCCUACCCUCUAAGUGUAUUGUUCGCGUGUGUGCGUGCGUGCGUGCGUGUGUGUAUACGUGUGUCUGUUACGCGUGUGCAAACGAGCCUCUCCUCUCGUCCGUGUGACCUGCGGUUUCUCUGGCGUUUUCCUACCCUUAGUAGCGCGAGCACAGUGCAUCCAUCCAUCCAUCCGCCAGUCCGUGGGCCGUCACUCGUCUCGCCGCGAAGCGUAGUACCGCGGGACACGAGGGUGCUUGCGCGACCGCUCUCUUUCUAACGCGAGCGCGCGUUGUCAGCGCGCGCCGACGCUCUAACUACACGCGCGCGAGUCGAAAUUCCGACGCGACGCGAGCACACCGAGUCGUCCUCGUCCGCGGCACGAACCCCGACGCGACUUUCUUAUAAACUGCGAACUCUCCGUCCGUGCACGUACGUUAUCGUUUCUUCAUUCUUCCCCUCGACGUCGAGGGUGCAGUCUCGGAACAGAAAGCACGAUGCCGCGAUGACAGACGGAUUGUCGAUUUGUGACGAGUGCGAUCGGCGAUCAGUGCAAGUAACUCGAGAAAAGUGAUGGCACGAUAGAGGAAGAGGCAGUCUCGGUAUUACUCGACGCUUUACACUUACGCGGGUGGACGGUAAAGAGAACGGAAAGCGAAAAGGAGAGAAGUCACGCUCCAGUGUCAGACUGCGCGGAGCGAACAUGUAGUGGUGAGGGAGAAAAAGGAGAAAAGAGAGAGAGGGAGGAAGAGAGAGGUAAAGAGAGAAAGAGGGGAGGUGUAGAGGUAGGUGGCGGCGGACGACGUAGAAGGAGAGGGCGACUCCACGAAGGGUGGGCCAUCCAAGUGUCUUGUCUCCUAUCAUCCUGUCGUCCAGGGUAUCGCUUACGAAUGUCGCGCGAUCGAGCGAUCCGUUUGCGAUCCACGACGACGACGACGACGACGACGCGCGAGGACGACGUCCUGACGACGGCCGCGCAUCGACUACCGACCAGCCGCGCGGCAACCAAUCUCUUCAUUUGAGUCAACGUGACGGCAAAACGCUUCACGUACCUGUGUGUGUGUGUGUGUGUGUGUGUGUGUACGCGCGCGCGCGUGUGUGUGUGUGUGUGUGCGUCGUCCUCGUGAUACGCGAUCGUCCGAGGUCGCGGACAGUCGCCGGGUCGCGUCGCGCGAGACGAUGACGAUGACGCCGGGCACCGCUUAGCCGACGUCGAACAGCCCCGAAUAUAGAACCAAGAGUACCGAAACGUCGUCGACGAGAACGACGCGCGGCUACGAAAGCACCGGGGAACGAAAGCUUCCCUACCUCCAAGUCGUUCCAAGAGCCGUCGUAACGGGCUAGCUGGGCUAGCCGCGGAAGAAGUGCCGCAACAACGAGUCUCCCCGGCUGUUUGCAAAAGGCCGUUUGAAAGAAUGUCCGGCGAGACGGAAAUCGAGGUGUCGGUCGUGUCGGAGGAGGAUCUGGAACUGGAGGGAUCCAGGAGCAGUUCCACCCCGGCGGAACUGCUGCUGCAGGAGAAGAACGGCAAGUCCGGCUGCGGCCUAAGCAAUCAUCAUCACUCCUUCAGCUUCGACACGGUGAGCAAGCCGGCGCUCAGGCCUGCCUGCAAUCCGCAGUACACGUCCUUCAGUAUCUCCAGCAUCCUCGGCAGACCGGAAUCGCCGCCUGUCGACUCGACGACUUCCACGGGAUCUGGCGAGAGGCAAUCGUCGGACGUCGACAGAACGUCGCCGCCGUCGCUACCCCCGGCAAACUCGCAGAACUCGCAGAGGAUCCCGCCGUCGGGCGCCAGUCCCAGCGGCAGAAUCUCGUCCUCCCCCACGUCCCUGAGACUGUCCGGCGGUCAACGUGGCGGACUGUCCACUACCGGUCACCCCGGGCUGGAGCCCAGAGCGAAUUCCACGGGUAUCGGUAUCGGAUGUGCUACCAGUGCUACCAGUCCAGCUGCGACCUUCUCGCCGCCCGGCGAUGCCUCUGCCAAUCCACUACUAGGACACCAGGCCUCGGCGGAUCUCGCGAUGCUGUCAAGAUUGAUAGCGAGUCGAUACCCAGUCGGCAUCGGCGGUUUGUUCUACCCCUCGACGCUGCAGCAUCUCCAUCAGCAGCAACAGCAACAGCAUCAGCAUCAUUCGCGGCUAGCCGCCGCAGCCUCGUCCGCCCUCAGCAACGCUGUACAGGUCGCCGGCCAAUCGCCGGACAUCGUCGACGCCGAUGGCAUCCGCGGCGUUCUACUCGGCGGCGCCGGCUGGCCGUUUCCAUGGAGGCCGGCGCACGGCCUGCAGACACUCGAGCAUCCCUCACCAAGCGAUGUGGUCGGCACCCUCAGCCGCGUCAGUCCCGCGUCCGCUUCUUUCCCGCAGCGAGACGAGCUAGACGACGACAACGACCGCGAUGAUCGUCUGCAUCGCGCGAGGAGUCCGUCAAGCGGUGACGAGGUGCACGACGACCUCGGCGAUGCUGACGACUGUGGGGAUGCCGAUGGAGAAGGCGAGUCCACGUCGACGAGUCUUCACGGUACUUCGGUAGGCGGUGGUGGCGGGGGUGGUGGCGGUGGUGGCGGCGGCGGUGGUAGCGGUGGUGGCAACGGUAACAGCAACGGUGGCCAAAACAACGUGCAAGUCGGGGUGGACGGUCGCGAGUCGAACAGCAUAAAGCGCAAGAAAAAGACUAGAACGGUCUUCUCCAGGUCGCAAGUGUUCCAGCUGGAGAGCACGUUCGACAUGAAGCGUUACCUCUCGUCGUCGGAGCGCGCAGGGUUGGCCGCCUCGCUCAGGCUGACGGAGACUCAGGUGAAGAUCUGGUUCCAGAACCGGCGAAACAAGUGGAAACGGCAAUUGGCCGCCGAGCUGGAGGCGGCAAACAUGGCGCACGCCACUCAGAGGCUGGUCAGGGUGCCGAUCCUGUACCACGAGGCGUCAGCCAGCACCGGCACUUCCGCCGGCGUGCCCGUGUCGGUGACGGGAGCACCGGGAGCGCCGGUGCCGCAGGUUCCGUCUUCGGUAGGCGCGACCUCCGCCCUCUCGCACUCGGUCGGCGUCGGCGUGGGCGUCGGCGUCGGCGUCGGCGUCGGCGUCGGCGUCGGUGUCGGCACCUCGUGCGCGCCCACCACGGCGCAGCCCAUCUUUUACUCCCAUCACCAUCAACAUCACCAUCACCACCCGGCGGCAGCCCACGUGCAGGCGCACACUCUCCUAUCCCACCAGGUGCACCCGCAACCGCCGCCCCCACCCCCGCCGCCGCCAAACGGCCAACCACCGCGGACGUCCUCGCAAUAACACCGUCCGACGACUUACGAGGGUAGCGUGCGGUUGCUGCGAGAGACGACCACCAUGAAUAACAAGAUCAUCUCCGUGAACGACGGCGCAACGGCGACGACUUCUUGUCGCCUGGACCGUGCUGCUGUCUGGCUGAUCGACGUCGAUGAGUGAACGCACGCACGAUUAUCGACAAGAACACAGACCUCUCCCGCGACAUCCCCUGAUCGUCCCGUCAUAUCACGAAUCCGGUGGCACGACUGUCCCCUCGCCGCGCCGGUAAUUCGAGAGCAUUGGAGUUCGAAAAUGCUUUUCUAACGCGGACCGCGUUAGACGCGGUGGAUAAAUGUGAGUAUACGCGAGAAAUGUAGAGUUUUGAUUCGCUUUCUACGCUUCUAUGUCUCCAUUACGUAAGGGAAGUUGUUUUAUACGAUUCAAAUUGUAUUUUAUUUUCAUAUAGGUGACACGUCCUAGCAAUAAUCGUUUUAUUGAACAGAAAAACUCGUGGUUAUAUAUUUAUAAUGGAGAAGCUAAUAUAUAAAACACAUUUUUAGUGUAUAUAUACUCAUAAAUAAAAGAAUAUGUAAAAAUAUUUUAUUUAUAUAAAUUUCAAUAGUAUAACAUGACAGCAAUAAAUAAAAUUAUGUUCUCUCAUAAGUUUCAACUGACUUGAAACUCUACGUUUUCUGAACGGCGGCUUAUACUCAUGUCUAUUCACACACAUCUUUUAUUAUUAUCUAGAAAAAUAUGAUCUCUUGCAAAUAUAAUUUGAUAAAAUUAUUUUUAACGCUUGAUAAGAAGACUUUAAGUCAAUUUGUUUACCUCGAAAUAAAUUAUCAAAAAAAAAUGUAUCGAAUUGAUACAACACACGUUGUUCCAGUAAUCAUAUUGCCAUAAAAAUAAUACUAUUGUCGAUUAUUCUGUUUAGCUUCUGGAAAAGUAAGACAUUUUGAUUUGCAUUUUUUUUUUUACCGAGCCACAGAAAUAUUUGUGCUAGUCCGCGCAAUUAUACAGAAAAUUUAACUGUGAUUAUAAUGAUUUUGUGUCGCUUCCAUGAGCCACGGGCGACGAAAGCUGGUCACGAAGUCGUACGGUUUCCCUUUCGGUUUAUUCGCUGAUAUAAUAAUAGCGUAUUGUUCCUUGCUACUGCUCUCGGUUUGUCAGCGUAUAACGGGAUACAAAAUUUCACGAUACCGCAAUCGACGGACGGAAAUUGGACUCAGUUUGCGUCAUCAUAUGUACUUGGGAUCUUUGUUGAUAGUAUAGUGUACAUAUAUUAAAAUAGCAAUUCUUCGAUUGUGCGCGUGAAAAAAGACGAUUCGCGCACGAGAAACGCGAGAAUGAAAAUUUUCAAACCGUCCCUAAUUGUGCGACGCUUGAUAUUUUAAUUAUUGUCGAACCGUAUCCGUUUCUCUAGUAUUCGUUUUCCUUGUAAAUAGUUCUUUGCGCGAAGUGUAAAUUCAUAUUUAGAAUUCCGUGUGCGUCGAGGGGAACGCGCUGUGGACCGGUGACCGGAGCUGCUCCGUUAAUAUAAUUCAGGGAUUAAAACAACUUCGGCGAGUUCAAUUUUUAAUAAUCGAGUGACACGGAGCAGUGACUCCCAUGCGAUUGUCGCAUUUUCAUCGUCGUGGAUACAAGCGCGGAGAAACGAUUUCCGUGCGAUCUACAGAAAAUUUGAACUCGCUGAAAUUGCUCGCUCGUAUUUAAUACCUGAUGUAACCGGGAUUCGCAGUGGUUGUAAAAAAUUGGACACACGUGUAUAACAUAUAUACAUAGACACGCAGCAAGCAGCUCACAUACAUACACACACAUGCACGUACACACGAGACACAGGCAGGUUCCUACGAUAUAUUCCACCUGUUGUGAUAAGUAUCUAAACAAAUAAUUUUAUUAAACAGAACGGUAGAACUACGAAAUACCGCCUCUCUCACAUUGUAUAUCACCUAUCUAUAGACGUCAAUUAAGGAGAAGGUUCGCCGUGCCGUGUUUUAUACGGACAUUUGUGAUCCAGGAUCUUGAAUUAUUGUAUAGCCGAUCGUUUCGUAAUCGCAAAAAUAAUGACCGUUGAACCAUACCAUACACGUCGUCCGAAUUUCUUCUACUCAAGAUCUGUACCGAACUGGUGAGCGUUGAUCUCGCCAGCAAGGUAAUGGACGAACGUUACUAGAUUCGAUGACAUUUGACGGGAUCGACGAACGGUUGAAUAAAAAUACGAAUACCUACGUUUAAAUUGCGCUUUUUUUCUACCGUGGCGCCCAUAAAGAGAUAGCAACGAAACAAUGGAACGCGCACCGGCAGCGUUCACAUAAAAAUCCCGCGAGGUCCGCGCGGGAUUAAAAUUAAUUGUUGCGUGGCUUCACAAGAGGCCCUCGUAACUAAACAAAUUGACACAGAGAUAAAACGUAGCGUUCGCCGCUUUCGAAAUCAAAAAUCAACGGGUGAUUCUUUGAUGGAAUCGCUAUUCGAACGGAUCGAGAAGCACGUCAGUUAAUAAAAUCUAGUGAUUCACAUUUACUUUGCCGUCUGCACUCGUAGAGAUGAGAACGAGAAGAAAGAAAAAUUUAUGAGACGGAAGUGAUCACCGAGUAUAAAAGCGACUUCAAGUAUAAAAGAAAUUCUAUUAUAUUUUACAAAUUUCUAAAUUCCUUACGUAUAAAUAUCAAAAAAUAUGAUAUAACAUAAUAAAUUCUCUCAAAAUUGCAAGUUAAAAAUAUCUAAAAUUUCUCUAUGAAAUCCUAGAAUUUAAAAACGAAGAAAUACGUUCAUUAUAUCUAAAUAUUUUCCACAGAAAACCAAUCGUUUCACAGCUAAUUUGCGGAAAGCUUUUUCUUGAAGCAAUAAAUCAGUGAAUUGUGAGUAACAUCAACGAGAAGGUACUUGAGGAAAAAACUGAAAUCAAUUAAUGCAUGAAUCAUUUCCUACGAGUCCGAUAAAUCGCUCUUCAAAAGUUUUAGAUUCAUCAGUUGGAAAUAGAACGAUCAAAAAUAAAACGAUCAGCAAAACUUCGACACACAGAGAAAAAGGUAUAUACAGAUAGAUACUCUUAGAUAUUCGUUACGAUGCACAUAUCUCGCGUGUACCGUACGAUUAUUUUCUUUUAACAAAAUUUUUUUGCAUAUCGAUAAAUGUUCCUAGAGAUCUCUAUAUCCAUAUAUAGAGAUCAGAAUAUUCAAACAAUACAGGAGUGUUUAUUGGACGUCUGUGGUUAUAGCGUGUCCUAUCGCUACGCAAUCAAAAAUGCAUACAAUUAUUCGCGUACGUGUGUGUAGCUUUUCACUCGCCAUUCACUCACGCACGUUCGUCAAGUGCGUAACGCAGGCGGCACGCGUACGCGUAUUUACACGCAUCGCUCCUCGCGUCCUCCGCCACGAAACUGGCAACGCGACCACGAAGGAAGACCAAUGUGACAAUGCACCUGCACCGCCCACAUUCCGCAUCCGCUGCACAUACAGCCGCCAACACAGCGUGUUCUGAAUAACAGGGUGAACGCACGGUCGAUUUAUCGUGGCCCAUUAUCGCCGUCACGAUCGUUCCGUGACCGUUAUUACCCGCCCGUAAAGAAGACUCGUGGCCGGAUAAUUACUCUAAUGGAAUAAUUUUUUGGAAAAAUCUAUCGUCGAUGCCGCAGACGCGCACGACACGGCAACAACAAAGGCCACACCUCCAAGAAACGGCGAUCCGAGAAUCGUUAACCGCACGUAAAUUCUAUAAAAGGAAAGAUUAAACGUAAAAAUAAACGAAUACAUAUAUCGAGCUCGAUUAUCAUCGCGUUACUAAUCGUCAGAGAACGAACACAAAUUACAAAAAAUAUGUAAGCCUCUCGAUCAAAAAAUAUUUAAGCAAAUGUAUUUUAAAACCUAUAAUUUUAUUCAACACAAAAUAAAAAAUUCUUUUGUAUAUGAUAAACUUUUCCUUAAAUAACUUUUACAUAGUACGUGAAACACAAGAAAAUCUAUUCUAGUGAUAUUUCAUAAUUUUUUUUUUAUUCUUUUAAAAUGAUAAUUGUUAAUAUAUCACUUUUGAUGUUACCGCAGAUCUCGAGAUUUACCAUAAUAAAUUUUUGCUGGCGACAAUUUUACAUAUUUACGGUAACAGAAAACAAAAACCAAUGUCAGAAUACGUUUUAUAGCCCAUUGGGACUCCAAGGGUUUAGAUUAAUAUUUAUGACGUUCCGUAAAAUGUAUCCAUGUUGGAAAGAAAACUUUUGUCCCGUGUAUCCCUAAUCGUCCUCGCAAUCUUACGUUUUACUUUUUCACACCAAUUCUUUACGUCAAAAUGUAACAUAUUUUCAAAGAUGUAAGAAAAAGCAUUAUUCUUUAAAUAAUCAGAUUAUGCUCUAAAUGCCUAACAUGCAAAUGUUCAUUAUUACGAAUAAAAUCGGACUAUCUCUAAAAGUGUGAUUAUUCGAAUUGCCACACGUCAACGUAUUACAAUUCGCGAUGUUCCACUCUUUAACAUCGAGUUGAACGCAUGCGGUUCUCAGCAUUCGCAUUCGCCCAAAACAGUUCUCGAAAUCGACGAUAAAACUCGUCUCGGGGUAGAGAAUACGAGGCCUGACACGGCGACAAAGAGGGCGAAAGAAAGGGAGGAAGGGAACAGGAUGGAGAAAGAGCGAAAGCGAACAAGAAGAGAGAAAGAAAGAGAAAGAGAAAGAAGGAGAAGGAGAGAGAGUCAAUGGGUAUAAGCACUAAGCACGUAACUAUAAAAGGAGCCGGGGGUUGCGAAUCGUCGCUAGAUUAAAAAGAGGCUCCCUUUUUCGCUUGCUCUUUUAUGCCGAUGCGCGCCGCGCCCCACACGCAUCGCGUACGGCCUCCUCCUCCUCCUCCUCUUUCACCUCCUUCUCUUCGUCCUCGUCUGUAACGUUAACGUUACACGCACUUGCAUGUGAGCAUCACAUGCACAUUCGCACAUUCACGCGCAUCCGAUAUCUCGCGACCGUCCGUCCGCUGGAAAAGCAAUUCGAUCUGCCGGUGCGAUGGGGUACAGCCACCCUCUUUUCUCUCUCUCUCUCUCUCUCUCUCUCUCUCUCUCUCUCUCUCUCUCUCUCUCUCGCUUCUUUUUAUCUCUCCAGACCUGCUCAAGCGUCGGAUUUCCUGAUGCUGAAUUCGACUUCGCGAUGUAUGCCCACUCUCGCGUUUAUCGGAAAUGCGAAUUGCGGCGAGCGCGAGCGUGACGUUUGUCGAGAAUAUCAGCAACUACCUUAAAUACGACUUGAUUAAAUCGUAUAAUACAGUUGGAAAAUAUUCCCAGUAAAAAUAUUACUCCACUUGAUAUCAAUUAAAAAUUUAUCUAUCUAUUUAAAGCGCUUUUAAGUAGUAAAAUGUCUUUCAAAUAAAUCUCUGUAAUAAAUAGUUUCUCUCAAAUUUGAGUUACUUUACUUCUUUAUAUCGUUUUGUCUAAAAAAAUUAAAAAGAUGAUAACAUAUUAACAAUUUGAUUUAAAUUAAAUAUCAAAAUAUAUAAAUAUAUGUAUAUAAAAAUAAUUAAACAUGUAAAUUAAAUAAUUAUUUUUGAAAGAUGCUUAAUCCGCAUGAAAAGUAACUGUAACACCAUUCCAAAUUCAUUUAAAAUUUAACACAUGCCAUAUACACAUUAGCACGAGUGGUUAUAUUUUUUACGCGUGCACGCAAGUCACAUUUAAACAUAAUAUACGUUCUGUAUCAUAGCAUGAAUACUUAGAGAAACAAUGAUUAGAGUAAGUGCCUAACAUCGUAACACGCACAUAAUAUCUGCGAACAGACAAUGCACGUCUAUCC
RNAcentral lists this unclassified non-coding RNA (8998 nucleotides) under Monomorium pharaonis (pharaoh ant). Its description in RNAcentral is "homeobox protein Hmx, transcript variant X2". The record is from RNAcentral. Lineage: Eukaryota; Metazoa; Arthropoda; Insecta; Hymenoptera; Formicidae.